CACGUGAAACCCAUCAGGAGUAAACGGAAAAGAUUCGAAGUUCCAAAAUGAGAGAUUCACGUCUUCUCGAUUACAUCCUUAUUAAUAUUAGGAUGGUCUAUUGCCCUGCUUGAUAUUUUUAUUAAGGUAGUGGGAUAGGUUACCAUUAUUAAUAACGAUUGUUGAUUGGGGGACCGCACUUCUCUUCAUUUAAAGAACGUCGCAACCCGUUUGGUGACGGUUUAAGAGCCAAAUAAGAGCCUGAUUUUAAUGUUUUACCGUUUGGUACAGUUUUUAUGUCAGAUGUUUGGUUUUCUUUUUAAGAUCGUUGUCCAGGUGGAAUCAAACAAUUAAGUGUUGAACCGCACUUGAAAAGCGUCAUUUAUUACAUUGUGCAAGUUGUGAUAGAUAAGCUCAAAUCGGUUCAUAUCUGUUCCGUUUGAUUUACUUCUAAACUGUUAGCAUAAUGAUUCUAUGACAGAUUUGUUCAAAACACUUGUUGGCGGCGCUAAAGAUUCGGAAACUUUUCCGACCCGUCUUGAAACACGGACCAAGGAGUCUAGCGUGUACGCAAGUCAAUAGGUGCAAAACCUAAAGGCGAAAUGAAAGUGUCAAAGGAAAGUUUUUUUUGAGCUUUUCUCAUUGGGAAGAUGGGAGCUCCUUGGUAGUAAGGAUUCCUCGCACUCCUAGGGCGUUUCGUUCUCAUUGCGAGUUGAGACGCACCAGGAGCGUACACGCUGGCACCCGAAAGAUGGUGAACUAUGCCUGAUCAGGAUGAAGCCAGGAA
Molecule: ribosomal RNA, 766 nt
Filed under: Hemiptera sp. NZAC 03011167
Lineage: Eukaryota; Metazoa; Arthropoda; Insecta; Hemiptera
Description: eukaryotic LSU rRNA
Rfam family: Eukaryotic large subunit ribosomal RNA
Source: RNAcentral